UGAGGAAUAUUGGUCAAUGGACGGAAGUCUGAACCAGCCAAGUAGCGUGCAGGAAGACGGCCCUAUGGGUUGUAAACUGCUUUUGUAUGGGGAUAAAGUCAAUCACGUGUGAUUGUUUGCAGGUACCAUACGAAUAAGGACCGGCUAAUUCCGUGCCAGCAGCCGCGGUAAUACGGAAGGUUCGGGCGUUAUCCGGAUUUAUUGGGUUUAAAGGGAGCGUAGGCCGGAGAUUAAGUGUGUUGUGAAAUGUAGACGCUCAACGUCUGACUUGCAGCGCAUACUGGUUUCCUUGAGUACGCACAACGUUGGCGGAAUUCGUCGUGUAGCGGUGAAAUGCUUAGAUAUGACGAAGAACUCCGAUUGCGAAGGCAGCUGACGGGAGCGCAACUGACGCUGAAGCUCGAAGGUGCGGGUAUCGAACAGGAUUAGAUACCCUGGUAGUCCGCACAGUAAACGAUGGAUGCUCGCUGUUGGUACCUAGUAUCAGCGGCUAAGCGAAAGCAUUAAGCAUCCCACCUGGGGAGUACGCCCGGCNCGGU
RNAcentral lists this ribosomal RNA (539 nucleotides) under uncultured bacterium. RNAcentral describes it as "bacterial SSU rRNA". It matches the Rfam family "Bacterial small subunit ribosomal RNA", at positions 355 to 895 of the family's 1533-position model. The record is from RNAcentral.